RNAcentral lists this RNase P RNA (212 nucleotides) under Porticoccaceae bacterium. RNAcentral describes it as "partial RNase P RNA component class A". It matches the Rfam family "Bacterial RNase P class A", at positions 1 to 181 of the family's 367-position model. From Rfam's summary of the family: Ribonuclease P (RNase P) is a ubiquitous endoribonuclease, found in archaea, bacteria and eukarya as well as chloroplasts and mitochondria. The record is from RNAcentral. Lineage: Bacteria; Pseudomonadati; Pseudomonadota; Gammaproteobacteria; Cellvibrionales; Porticoccaceae.
CGAGUUGACUAGACAAUCGCUGUACUGAAUUCUCCAUUUCUCGCUAGCGUUUUAUGGGGAGCGGUAUAGAGGAAAGUCCGGGCUCCAAAGGGUAGAGUGCCAGGUAACGCCUGGGGGGCGAGAGCCUACGGAAAGUGCCGCAGAGAGCAGACCGCCGAUGAUUCGCUCGCGAACACAGGUAAGGGUGAAAGGGUGCGGUAAGAGCGCACCGC